GGUCGAUUAGUUAAAAGAGUAUAACACGGACCUUGUAAGUCUGAAUAAUCAGUGCAAUUCUGAUAUUGACCUC
This 73-nucleotide transfer RNA is filed under the name Escherichia phage vB_Ec-M-J. Its description in RNAcentral is "tRNA-Thr". It matches the Rfam family "tRNA". From Rfam's summary of the family: Transfer RNA (tRNA) molecules are approximately 80 nucleotides in length. Their secondary structure includes four short double-helical elements and three loops (D, anti-codon, and T loops). The record is from RNAcentral. Lineage: Duplodnaviria; Heunggongvirae; Uroviricota; Caudoviricetes.